CGACGUGAGCAAUCUGCCUUUGGGUGGGGGAUAACAGCCGGAAACGACUGCUAAUACCGCAUGAUGCAGCGGGGGUCGCAUGAUUUUGCUGCCAAAGAUUUAUCGUCCAAAGAUGAGCUCGCGUCUGAUUAGCCAGUUGGCGGGGUAACGGCCCACCAAAGCGACGAUCAGUAGCCGGACUGAGAGGUUGAACGGCCACAUUGGGACUGAGACACGGCCCAGACUCCUACGGGAGGCAGCAG
RNAcentral lists this ribosomal RNA (242 nucleotides) under uncultured bacterium. RNAcentral's name for it is "partial 16S ribosomal RNA". It matches the Rfam family "Bacterial small subunit ribosomal RNA", at positions 113 to 354 of the family's 1533-position model. The record is from RNAcentral.